RNAcentral lists this ribosomal RNA (735 nucleotides) under Salmonella enterica subsp. enterica serovar Kentucky. RNAcentral's name for it is "partial 23S ribosomal RNA". It matches the Rfam family "Bacterial large subunit ribosomal RNA", at positions 2208 to 2925 of the family's 2925-position model. The record is from RNAcentral. Lineage: Bacteria; Pseudomonadati; Pseudomonadota; Gammaproteobacteria; Enterobacterales; Enterobacteriaceae.
UAAUGUUUGAUGUUCUAACGUGGACCCGUAAUCCGGGUUGCGGACAGUGUCUGGUGGGUAGUUUGACUGGGGCGGUCUCCUCCUAAAGAGUAACGGAGGAGCACGAAGGUUGGCUAAUCCUGGUCGGACAUCAGGAGGUUAGUGCAAUGGCAUAAGCCAGCUUGACUGCGAGCGUGACGGCGCGAGCAGGUGCGAAAGCAGGUCAUAGUGAUCCGGUGGUUCUGAAUGGAAGGGCCAUCGCUCAACGGAUAAAAGGUACUCCGGGGAUAACAGGCUGAUACCGCCCAAGAGUUCAUAUCGACGGCGGUGUUUGGCACCUCGAUGUCGGCUCAUCACAUCCUGGGGCUGAAGUAGGUCCCAAGGGUAUGGCUGUUCGCCAUUUAAAGUGGUACGCGAGCUGGGUUUAGAACGUCGUGAGACAGUUCGGUCCCUAUCUGCCGUGGGCGCUGGAGAACUGAGGGGGGCUGCUCCUAGUACGAGAGGACCGGAGUGGACGCAUCACUGGUGUUCGGGUUGUCAUGCCAAUGGCACUGCCCGGUAGCUAAAUGCGGAAGAGAUAAGUGCUGAAAGCAUCUAAGCACGAAACUUGCCCCGAGAUGAGUUCUCCCUGAGACUUAAAGUCUCCUGAAGGAACGUUGAAGACGACGACGUUGAUAGGCCGGGUGUGUAAGCGCAGCGAUGCGUUGAGCUAACCGGUACUAAUGAACCGUGAGGCUUAACCUUACAACGCCGAAG